Molecule: small nuclear RNA, 62 nt
Organism: Callithrix jacchus (white-tufted-ear marmoset)
Lineage: Eukaryota; Metazoa; Chordata; Mammalia; Primates; Cebidae
Gene: U7
Rfam family: U7 small nuclear RNA
About the family: Animal histone pre-mRNAs are spliced by a different mechanism than nuclear pre-mRNAs and self-splicing introns.
Source: Ensembl
CUGCGUUACAGCUCUUUUCAAAUUUGUCUAGCAAGCUUUCCAGUUUUUGCCAGAAAGCCCCU